UAAGGAAUAUUGCUCAAUGGGAGAAAUCCUGAAGCAGCAACGCCGCGUGGAGGGUGAAGGGUCUAUGACUUGUAAACUCCUGUAAAGAAGGAAAAAAUUCCCAUUUGAUGGGAGAUGAUGGUACUUCUGGAGUAAGCCCCGGCUAACUACGUGCCAGCAGCCGCGGUAAUACGUAGGGGGCAAGCGUUGUCCGGAUUUACUGGGUGUAAAGGGUGCUCAGGCGGAGUUGUAAGUCAGAGGUGAAAACUUACAGCUUAACUGAGAAACUGCCUUUGAUACUGCAAGCCUAGAGUAUGGAAGAGCGUGAUGGAAUAUCUGGUGUAGCAGUGAAAUGCGUAGAUAUCAGAUAUAACACCAAUGGCGAAGGCAGUCACUUGGUCCAUUACUG
RNAcentral lists this ribosomal RNA (388 nucleotides) under uncultured bacterium. Its description in RNAcentral is "bacterial SSU rRNA". It matches the Rfam family "Bacterial small subunit ribosomal RNA", at positions 355 to 742 of the family's 1533-position model. The record is from RNAcentral.